UAUGUCAUUUUAUUAUAUAUUUUUUGAUUCAUUAAUAAAUUAUAAGUAUUACAAGACAAGACAAGGUUCAUGAAGAUCUUUAGAAUUCUCAAUAUAAGAAGGAUAGAGCUUUGAAGUUAAGAUUGACAAAGACAAGACAAGAUUGAAGAAGACAAGGCAAGGUUUAUCAAGUAAAAGUUAUGAUCUACUUUGAAGUAGACAUCAUUGAUGGACUACUUCAACAUUGACAAAGACAUCAAUGAACAUAAAGAAGAAAUUGAAGAAUAAUGAUAUCAAAAAUAGAUUUAAAGUUUAAUUGAUUGACU
RNAcentral lists this long non-coding RNA (305 nucleotides) under Physcomitrium patens. RNAcentral describes it as "long non-coding RNA (PPAT_LNC009209)". Lineage: Eukaryota; Viridiplantae; Streptophyta; Bryopsida; Funariales; Funariaceae. The record is from RNAcentral.